GCCGCGGUACUGCAAAAUGGACAGCCAUCUCGCACAACCUCUUAGUCGCAUCCACUGAGAGGUCCUCGACACAGCGGUCGACGGAAAAGCGAAGCCAUGGACUGAGCUCAGGCGCGCAAUGGUCGAGAAAAUCGGCGUCGAUGUGGAACUUCCUCACCUUGGGCGACGCCUAGAGGAUCAAGACGCCGUCCACGGACGGGGAGGCGUUCCGCCAGGGGAAGGAGAAGACGAGGUCCGGGGGCGGCGGUCCAGAGGGAUCGCCACCGCUUCGACAAAAACGCACGUGCCAUCGGCAUCGUCGCCUAGGGUUUCGCAUCGACGAGAGGAGGAGGAGGAGGAGGUCGGCGAUGGCUUCUUCUUCGCCAUGUGGGGAUCGACGAUCGA
RNAcentral lists this long non-coding RNA (384 nucleotides) under Eucalyptus grandis. Its description in RNAcentral is "long non-coding RNA (EGRA_LNC001180)". Lineage: Eukaryota; Viridiplantae; Streptophyta; Magnoliopsida; Myrtales; Myrtaceae. The record is from RNAcentral.